UGGGGAAUUUUGGACAAUGGGGGAAACCCUGAUCCAGCCAUCCCGCGUGUGCGAUGAAGGCCUUCGGGUUGUAAAGCACUUUUGGCAGGAAAGAAACGUCGCGGGUUAAUACCCCGCGAAACUGACGGUACCUGCAGAAUAAGCACCGGCUAACUACGUGCCAGCAGCCGCGGUAAUACGUAGGGUGCAAGCGUUAAUCGGAAUUACUGGGCGUAAAGCGUGCGCAGGCGGUUCGGAAAGAAAGAUGUGAAAUCCCAGAGCUUAACUUUGGAACUGCAUUUUUAACUACCGGGCUAGAGUGUGUCAGAGGGAGGUGGAAUUCCGCGUGUAGCAGUGAAAUGCGUAGAUAUGCGGAGGAACACCGAUGGCGAAGGCAGCCUCCUGGGAUAACACUGACGCUCAUGCACGAAAGCGUGGGGAGCAAACAGGAUUAGAUACCCUGGUAGUCCACGCCCUAAACGAUGUCAACUAGCUGUUGGGGGCCUUCGGGCCUUGGUAGCGCAGCUAACGCGUGAAGUUGACCGCCUGGGGAGUACGGUCGCAAGAUUAAAACUCAAAGG
RNAcentral lists this ribosomal RNA (560 nucleotides) under uncultured bacterium. RNAcentral's name for it is "partial 16S ribosomal RNA". It matches the Rfam family "Bacterial small subunit ribosomal RNA", at positions 355 to 907 of the family's 1533-position model. The record is from RNAcentral.